UCCUAUAUGCAGUCGAGCGAACGGACGAGAAGCUUGCUUCUCUGAUGUUAGCGGCGGAGGGUGAGUAACACGUGGAUAACCUACCUAUAAGACUGGGAUAACUUCGGGAAACCGGAGCUAAUACCGGAUAAUAUUUUGAACCGCAUGGUUCAAAAGUGAAAGACGGUCUUGCUGUCACUUAUAGAUGGAUCCGCGCUGCAUUAGCUAGUUGGUAAGGUAACGGCUUACCAAGGCAACGAUGCAUAGCCGACCUGAGAGGGUGAUCGGCCACACUGGAACUGAGACACGGUCCAGACUCCUACGGGAGGCAGCAGUAGGGAAUCUUCCGCAAUGGGCGAAAGCCUGACGGAGCAACGCCGCGUGAGUGAUGAAGGUCUUCGGAUCGUAAAACUCUGUUAUUAGGGAAGAACAUAUGUGUAAGUAACUGUGCACAUCUUGACGGUACCUAAUCAGAAAGCCACGGCUAACUACGUGCCAGCAGCCGCGGUAAUACGUAGGUGGCAAGCGUUAUCCGGAAUUAUUGGGCGUAAAGCGCGCGUAGGCGGUUUUUUAAGUCUGAUGUGAAAGCCCACGGCUCAACCGUGGAGGGUCAUUGGAAACUGGAAAACUUGAGUGCAGAAGAGGAAAGUGGAAUUCCAUGUGUAGCGGUGAAAUGCGCAGAGAUAUGGAGGAACACCAGUGGCGAAGGCGACUUUCUGGUCUGUAACUGACGCUGAUGUGCGAAAGCGUGGGGAUCAAACAGGAUUAGAU
Molecule: ribosomal RNA, 750 nt
Filed under: Staphylococcus aureus
Lineage: Bacteria; Bacillati; Bacillota; Bacilli; Caryophanales; Staphylococcaceae
Description: bacterial SSU rRNA
Rfam family: Bacterial small subunit ribosomal RNA
Source: RNAcentral